GAGAACGUGAAAUCCCUGAAGUUGAAGCAGAACGAGUCGAAAUUGUUAAGCAGUGAAGUGGUUUGGUUAUACCGUCCAUGUAGCUGUGGUACUGCGCUGGUUGCGCUGUCCGAGCUCUCCUGACUAGUCAGUGUUGCCCACCCUUGUGGUGGUGUCUUGCUUUCUGGAAUGGUUUGCCGUGUCAGUGUUUAGCUUGCCCUUUGGGUGAGAACCGGUGUUAAUGUCGAUCACCGUUCUGUCCCGUCUUGAAACACGGACCGAGGAGUGUAACUUGUGCGCGAGUCAGAGGGUGUUAAACCUUACGGCGAAAUGAAAGUAAAGGUCGAUUAAUCGGCUGAGAUGGGAUCCUUGCUUUACGGCUUGGUGCACCAUCGCCCUGUCUCGAAAGCUUGCUUUUGGGCAGAGGUAGAGCGUACAGGUUGCGACCCGAAAGAUGGUGAACUA
This 444-nucleotide ribosomal RNA is filed under the name Rhabditida sp. 3019ed. Its description in RNAcentral is "eukaryotic LSU rRNA". It matches the Rfam family "Eukaryotic large subunit ribosomal RNA", at positions 393 to 833 of the family's 3401-position model. Lineage: Eukaryota; Metazoa; Nematoda; Chromadorea; Rhabditida. The record is from RNAcentral.